Lotus japonicus is the source of this 592-nucleotide long non-coding RNA. RefSeq lists it as uncharacterized. Lineage: Eukaryota; Viridiplantae; Streptophyta; Magnoliopsida; Fabales; Fabaceae. The record is from RefSeq and is a predicted model, not a curated record. The transcript is spliced from 6 exons.
GUGAUCAGGGAAAUGUUGGCCUGUUUUCUUCACCUUCUUUGGUCCUGACAAAGGGGAUUGUUGGUAAUGCGCACAACUUGAACAAGUUUGGCAUAUUUCUGUGAGUGCAUGAAGGAGGAAGCAAGUUAAAUGGUAAAAUUCAAACUAAUUGUGGUGAACACCUGUACUUAUACAUGCCCACAAGCUAUUUGAGUGGAUGUAUCAUGCAGGGCUUCAAUCUAACAGAGAGCAGGAUCUUAAGGAAGAUGUUAAGCAUGGAUAACUUCAAAGGGGUUCGAAGGGGAAACUUUUAGAAUUCAUCAGAUUGCCAUUUUGAACUAUACUUCUCUUGAAGCAUAGAGGUGAGAAAAUAUGUGGGGCCUUUAGGCUGGCAGUGUUCUCAUCUGAUCAAUUACUUGGAGGUAAUUAGUGGGUACUAUGUUUAAUUGCUUUGAGGACGGUGACAGUUUUGAAAGUACCAAGGGAGCAAAUGUGAGGUUUGGAUCCCUAUGACUCCUUCCCCAUUCCUGGCCUGCUCCUCCUUUUUGCAUCCCUAUGACUAUACACUCAACAUGACUCUUGACUAAAUGCAAGGAAGUUACCUUCAUACUGA